CCUACGGGUGGCAGCAGUAGGGAAUAUUGCUCAAUGGGGGAAACCCUGAAGCAGCAACGCCGCGUGGAGGAUGAAGGGUUUCGGAUUGUACACCCCUUUUGGUAGAGAAGAUAAUGACGGUACCUAACGAAUAAGCACCGGCUAACUCCGUGCCAGCAGCCGCGGUAAUACGGAGGGUGCAAGCGUUACGCGGAUGCACUGGGCGUAAAGAGCGCGUAGGCGGGAUAGCAAGGCAGAUGUGAAAUCCUAUGGCUUAACCAGAGAACUGCAGUUGAAACUGUUAUUCUAGAGUAUAGGAGCGGUAGGUGGAAUGCAUGGUGUAGGGGUGAAAUGCGUAGAGAUCAGGAGGAAUACUGAUUGCGAAGGCGACCUGCUAGAACAUAACUGACGUUGAGGCGCGAAAGCGUGGGGAGCAAACAGGAUUAGAUACCCCUGUAGUC
RNAcentral lists this ribosomal RNA (440 nucleotides) under uncultured bacterium. Its description in RNAcentral is "partial 16S ribosomal RNA". It matches the Rfam family "Bacterial small subunit ribosomal RNA", at positions 338 to 795 of the family's 1533-position model. The record is from RNAcentral.